AUGAACAUUAUAUCUGGAUCUUGUUUGAUGCGAGACGGUUAUUCAUUUAAAUCAGAGAAUAAUGGUUGUUCUAUUUAUAUGAGUAAUAUCUUUUAUGGUCACGCACCCUUGAAGAGUGGUCUAUUCUUAUUGAAUCUCGAGAGUAGUGAUACACAUAUUCAUAAUGUUGAAGCCAAAAGAUGCAGAGUUGAUAAUGAUGGUGCAACUUAUUUGUGGCACUGCCGUUUAGGUCAUAUCGGUGUAAAGCGCAUGAAGAAACUCCAUACUGAUGGACUUUUGGAACCACUUGAUUAUGAAUCACUUGGUACUUGCGAACCGUGCCUCAUGGGCAAGAUGACUAAAACACCGUUCUCCGGUACUAUGGAGAGAGCAAUAGAUUUGUUGGAAAUCAUACAUACAGAUGUAUGUGGUCCGAUGAAUAUUGAGGCUCGUGGCGGAUCGUUAUUUUCUCACCUUCACAGAUGA
RNAcentral lists this ribosomal RNA (465 nucleotides) under Triticum aestivum (bread wheat). Its description in RNAcentral is "partial small subunit ribosomal RNA". The record is from RNAcentral. Lineage: Eukaryota; Viridiplantae; Streptophyta; Magnoliopsida; Poales; Poaceae.